UUUCCUUUUCUUUUUCUUUUUAUCACUUUUUCUUCUUUUUUUUAUUUUUUUUAUAUUUUGAUUUUGACCCCUUUUUUUUUAAUCUGAACUCAUAGGAUUAGGCAAGUCCUCGUUAUCCCUUUCAAUCAGAACCAAAUUUCUUUCAUAGAGCCUUUUGGGGCGAAAUUUAACUAUGACAAAUACUUUAGAUCUUCCCCUUCAAUUAAGAUGAAAUCCAACAACGGAGAAAUGGCAACUUGACUUCGACGGGC
Molecule: long non-coding RNA, 251 nt
Filed under: Gossypium raimondii (Peruvian cotton)
Lineage: Eukaryota; Viridiplantae; Streptophyta; Magnoliopsida; Malvales; Malvaceae
Description: long non-coding RNA (GRAI_LNC008363)
Source: RNAcentral